GACGAACGCUGGCGGCGUGCCUAAUACAUGCAAGUCGAGCGAAGUUUUUCUGGUGCUUGCACUAGAAAAACUUAGCGGCGAACGGGUGAGUAACACGUAAAGAACCUGCCUCAUAGACUGGGACAACUAUUGGAAACGAUAGCUAAUACCGGAUAACAGUAUUUCUCGCAUGAGAGAUAUUUAAAAGUUGGUUAUGCUAACACUACGAGAUGGCUUUGCGGUGCAUUAGCUAGUUGGUGGGGUAAAGGCCCACCAAGGCGACGAUGCAUAGCCGACCUGAGAGGGUGAUCGGCCACACUGGGACUGAGACACGGCCCAGACUCCUACGGGAGGCAGCAGUAGGGAAUCUUCCGCAAUGGGCGAAAGCCUGACGGAGCAACGCCGCGUGAGUGAAGAAGGAUUUCGGUUCGUAAAGCUCUGUUGUUAGGGAAGAAUGGAUACGUAGUAACUAUACAUGUAAGAGACGGUACCUAACCAGAAAGCCACGGCUAACUACGUG
Molecule: ribosomal RNA, 499 nt
Filed under: uncultured bacterium
Lineage: Bacteria
Description: partial 16S ribosomal RNA
Rfam family: Bacterial small subunit ribosomal RNA
Source: RNAcentral